RNAcentral lists this small RNA (45 nucleotides) under Salmonella enterica subsp. enterica serovar Typhi str. E98-0664. Its description in RNAcentral is "Salmonella enterica sRNA STnc310". It matches the Rfam family "Salmonella enterica sRNA STnc310", at positions 1 to 45 of the family's 61-position model. Lineage: Bacteria; Pseudomonadati; Pseudomonadota; Gammaproteobacteria; Enterobacterales; Enterobacteriaceae. The record is from Rfam by way of RNAcentral.
AUUGUGACAUGUUAAACAAAAACGCCCGGCAGGUGUACGCUGCCG